CAAUAGCGUAUAUUUAAGUUGUUGCAGUUAAAAAGCUCGUAGUUGGAUUUUGGGUCGGGGGCACCGGUCCGCCGUUCCGGUGUGCACUGGUGGCCCCUUCCUUUCUGCCGGGGACGUGCGUCGCACUUAAUUGGGUGGCGUUCGGAGUCGGCGUUGUUACCUUGAAAAAAUUAGAGUGUUCAAAGCAAGCCAUCGCUCUGAAUACAUUAGCAUGGAAUAACAUGAUAGGACUCCGGUCUUAUUUUGUUGGUUUCCGAGACUGGAGUAAUGAUUAAGAGGGACAGUCGGGGGCAUCCGUAUUUCAUUGUCAGAGGUGAAAUUCUUGGAUUUAUGAAAGACGAACUUCUGCGAAAGCAUUUGCCAAGGAUGUUUUCAUUAA
RNAcentral lists this ribosomal RNA (379 nucleotides) under uncultured eukaryote. RNAcentral's name for it is "partial 18S ribosomal RNA". It matches the Rfam family "Eukaryotic small subunit ribosomal RNA", at positions 592 to 976 of the family's 1831-position model. The record is from RNAcentral.